RNAcentral lists this ribosomal RNA (504 nucleotides) under uncultured bacterium. RNAcentral's name for it is "partial 16S ribosomal RNA". It matches the Rfam family "Bacterial small subunit ribosomal RNA", at positions 29 to 523 of the family's 1533-position model. The record is from RNAcentral.
AUUGAACGCUGGCGGCAGGCCUAACACAUGCAAGUCGAGCGGUAGCACAGAGGGCUUGCUCUCGGGUGACGAGCGGCGGACGGGUGAGUAAUGUCUGGGAAACUGCCUGAUGGAGGGGGAUAACUACUGGAAACGGUAGCUAAUACCGCAUAACGUCGCAAGACCAAAGGGGGGGACCUUCGGGCCUCUUGCCAUCAGAUGUGCCCAGAUGGGAUUGGCUAGUAGGUGGGGUAACGGCUCACCUAGGCGACGAUCCCUAGCUGGUCUGAGAGGAGUACCAGCCACACUAGGACUGAGACACGGUCCAGACUCCUACGGGAGGCAGCAGAGGGGAAUAUUGCACAAUGGGCGCAAGCCUGAUGCAGCCAUGCCGCGUGUAUGAAGAAGGCCUUCGGGUUGUAAAGUACUUUCAGCGGGGAGGAAGGUGCUGAGGUUAAUAACCUCAGCAAUUGACGUUACCCGCAGAAGAAGCACCGGCUAACUCCGUGCCAGCCGCCGCCGUAA